AGUAAACAAGGGCAAAAUCACUGAAAAGUGAUGACGCAAAGCUAUAGGGGCCUCCGCCGUUAAGGCAAGGUCAGCCAGCUACCAUC
This 86-nucleotide non-coding RNA is filed under the name Bacillus sp. (in: firmicutes). RNAcentral describes it as "Bacillus sp. c-di-GMP sequence". It matches the Rfam family "c-di-GMP-I riboswitch aptamer". From Rfam's summary of the family: GEMM was predicted in a large-scale screen for bacterial structured RNA regulatory elements. Genes associated with GEMM are involved in a diverse array of functions, including chemotaxis regulation, signal transduction, secretion and chitin. Lineage: Bacteria; Bacillati; Bacillota; Bacilli; Caryophanales; Bacillaceae. RNAcentral also lists the same sequence under 1 other name. The record is from RNAcentral.